RNAcentral lists this ribosomal RNA (408 nucleotides) under Vibrio sp. AZTITEMP277. RNAcentral's name for it is "bacterial SSU rRNA". It matches the Rfam family "Bacterial small subunit ribosomal RNA", at positions 934 to 1341 of the family's 1533-position model. The record is from RNAcentral. Lineage: Bacteria; Pseudomonadati; Pseudomonadota; Gammaproteobacteria; Vibrionales; Vibrionaceae.
GGAGCAUGUGGUUUAAUUCGAUGCAACGCGAAGAACCUUACCUACUCUUGACAUCUAGAGAAUCCAGCGGAGACGCAGGAGUGCCUUCGGGAACUCUAAGACAGGUGCUGCAUGGCUGUCGUCAGCUCGUGUUGUGAAAUGUUGGGUUAAGUCCCGCAACGAGCGCAACCCUUAUCCUUGUUUGCCAGCGAGUAAUGUCGGGAACUCCAGGGAGACUGCCGGUGAUAAACCGGAGGAAGGUGGGGACGACGUCAAGUCAUCAUGGCCCUUACGAGUAGGGCUACACACGUGCUACAAUGGCGCAUACAGAGGGCAGCAAGCUAGCGAUAGUGAGCGAAUCCCAAAAAGUGCGUCGUAGUCCGGAUUGGAGUCUGCAACUCGACUCCANGAAGUCGGAAUCGCNAGNAA